Molecule: ribosomal RNA, 262 nt
Filed under: uncultured Lachnospiraceae bacterium
Lineage: Bacteria; Bacillati; Bacillota; Clostridia; Lachnospirales; Lachnospiraceae
Description: partial 16S ribosomal RNA
Rfam family: Bacterial small subunit ribosomal RNA
Source: RNAcentral
AGCUUGCUCUCAUGAUCAGCGGCGGACGGGUGAGUAACACGUGAGCAACCUGCCUUUCAGAGGGGGACAACAGUUGGAAACGGCUGCUAAUACCGCAUAAGCGCACAGAGCUGCAUGGCUCGGUGUGAAAAACUCCGGUGGUAUGGGAUGGGCCCGCGUCUGAUUAGGCAGUUGGCGGGGUAACGGCCCACCAAAGCGACGAUCAGUAGCCGGCCUGAGAGGGUGAACGGCCACAUUGGGACUGAGACACGGCCCAAACUCC